This 447-nucleotide ribosomal RNA is filed under the name uncultured bacterium. Its description in RNAcentral is "bacterial SSU rRNA". It matches the Rfam family "Bacterial small subunit ribosomal RNA", at positions 355 to 825 of the family's 1533-position model. The record is from RNAcentral.
UGGGGAAUUUUGGGCAAUGGGCGAAAGCCUGACCCAGCAACGCCGCGUGAAGGAUGAAGUAUUUCGGUAUGUAAACUUCGAAAGAAUAGGAAGAAUAAAUGACGGUACUAUUUAUAAGGUCCGGCUAACUACGUGCCAGCAGCCGCGGUAAUACGUAGGGACCAAGCGUUGUUCGGAUUUACUGGGCGUAAAGCGUGCGCAGGCGGUUGUGUAAGUCAGAUGUGAAAUCCCCGGGCUCAACCUGGGAAUUGCAUUUGAGACUGCACGGCUAGAGUGUGUCAGAGGGGGGUAGAAUUCCACGUGUAGCAGUGAAAUGCGUAGAUAUGUGGAGGAAUACCGAUGGCGAAGGCAGCCCCCUGGGAUAACACUGACGCUCAUGCACGAAAGCGUGGGGAGCAAACAGGAUUAGAUACCCAAGUAGUCCCUGAGCGGGCUGGCAAGGCGCAU